AGCGCUACUGGCGUCAGGUCUUUUCCGAAAGAGGCUCGCUGAGGUACUUGCUAGAAUCGUUAUUAGAGAAGUGUUCGCUUUCUUUUUUCCCAGUAUGGACCCCAGCAUCCCUUUGGCCCUAUCUCGCGCUGUUCACGUUCACAGCAAAAGCUCCUUACGGCCUUGUGAGGUUCCGCUGUGCAGUAGCAGCGUACCGGAUCAAUCCUUGUUGCUGAUGCCUGCAUCCUGGCGUGAUGGAUUGCUCCUAAAGUUUGUUUCCUGCGAUCCAGCUUGGGCCGUGUGCCUCACUGCACCUGCUCUUUGUACUGUUCUCCUGCUGUGCUCCCUGGCCACCAUAAACAAAGCAGCUUUGCUUUGUCAGGCCCUUCUGCCAUGAUGUCUCUACCUUGAAGCUGGCCAAUCAUGGACUAAACCCAUGAGCAAAUUAAACGUCUCUUCCUU
Fukomys damarensis (Damara mole-rat) is the source of this 441-nucleotide long non-coding RNA. RefSeq lists it as uncharacterized. The record is from RefSeq and is a predicted model, not a curated record. The transcript is spliced from 2 exons. NCBI's taxonomy places the organism in Eukaryota, Metazoa, Chordata, Mammalia, Rodentia, Bathyergidae.